This 471-nucleotide ribosomal RNA is filed under the name uncultured bacterium. RNAcentral describes it as "bacterial SSU rRNA". It matches the Rfam family "Bacterial small subunit ribosomal RNA", at positions 28 to 496 of the family's 1533-position model. The record is from RNAcentral.
GAUGAACGCUGGCGGCGUGCCUAAUACAUGCAAGUCGAACGCUUCACUUCGGUGAAGAGUGGCGAACGGGUGAGUAAUACAUAAGUAACCUGGCAUCUACAGGGGGAUAACUGAUGGAAACGUCAGCUAAGACCGCAUAGGUGUAGAGAUCGCAUGAACUCUAUAUGAAAAGUGCUACGGGACUGGUAGAUGAUGGACUUAUGGCGCAUUAGCUGGUUGGUAGGGUAACGGCCUACCAAGGCGACGAUGCGUAGCCGACCUGAGAGGGUGACCGGCCACACUGGGACUGAGACACGGCCCAGACUCCUACGGGAGGCAGCAGUAGGGAAUUUUCGGCAAUGGGGGAAACCCUGACCGAGCAACGCCGCGUGAAGGAAGAAGUAAUUCGUUAUGUAAACUUCUGUCAUAGAGGAAGAACGGUGGAUAUAGGGAAUGAUAUCCAAGUGACGGUACUCUAUAAGAAAGCCACGG